GGAGGGUUGGCCGAGUGGUCUAAGGCGGCAGACUUAAGUUUUCAAAAUUUAAGGGUUAUCUGCUGAACGUAAGUUCGCGCGAGUUCGAACCUCGCAUCCUUCA
Molecule: non-coding RNA, 103 nt
Organism: Kockiozyma suomiensis
Lineage: Eukaryota; Fungi; Ascomycota; Lipomycetes; Lipomycetales; Lipomycetaceae
Source: the annotation of a GenBank genome assembly